GGACUACCCGGGUUUCUAAUCCUGUUUGCUACCCACGCUUUCGUGUCUCAGCGUCAGAAGCGGUCCAGAAAGCUGUCUACACCACAGGUGUUCCUCCUGAUAUCUACGCAUUUCACCGCUACACCAGGAAUUCCGCUUUCCUCUCCCACCCUCUAGCACUCCAGUUUCCGCCGCACCCUCCCAGUUAAGCCGGGAGAUUUCACGACAGACUUAGAGAACAGCCUACACACUCUUUACGCCCAGUAAUUCCGAACAACGCUUGCUGCCUACGUAUUACCGCGGCUGCUGGCAC
RNAcentral lists this ribosomal RNA (292 nucleotides) under uncultured Acidobacteriota bacterium. RNAcentral's name for it is "uncultured Acidobacteria bacterium partial 16S ribosomal RNA". The record is from RNAcentral. Lineage: Bacteria; Pseudomonadati; Acidobacteriota.